GCAGACAGAUGUUCAGUCAGUUCAGUCGCUCAGUCAUGUCUGACUCUUUGCAACCCCGUGGACUGCAGCACGCCAGGCUUCCCUGUCCAUCACCACCUCCCGGAUGUUCAGAGACUGACAAGAGCUCACUCCAUAUUGCAGAAGGAAAUUCCUAUGCAUGAGAAAAUUCCUUUGUUUAGUAAAUCACACAAAAAUCCAACAGAAAUUGUGAAAAUUCUGGAAGACAACAUGGUCGUUUUGGAAAAGACAAAAAGAUAAACAAGGGUCUAACACAAGCUCCAACAGUGAAGGCCUUUUGCUAGGCGACGGGGCUAACAGAGUCCUCUCCGGAACUUGUGUCAAGUGGUGGCCAGCAUUCGACACAAGAACCACUGUUGAAAGCAGCAUACCCCAGGGGAGCCAAGCUUGUGAUAAAAUCUAGAUCACUAUCGGUUCAAGAUUAAAUUUCCUGAGUAAGGCCGAUGAUGCGCACAUCCUGUGUGGUUGAUUAGAGAAGAUUUGUAUUUGGAUAGCAGGUGACAAGGAUCACAGUCUACGUGAAGGCUGAGCAGCCUAUUAAAGAGAUGAGG
Molecule: long non-coding RNA, 569 nt
Organism: Bos taurus (domestic cattle)
Lineage: Eukaryota; Metazoa; Chordata; Mammalia; Artiodactyla; Bovidae
Source: Ensembl